CUUUUUUGGUGGUGAUGGAAGCGAUUCUCGAGGAAAGAAUAACAAACUGUGGGAUCUCAGCCGCAGGCGGGAGGAGAGGGGCUUUGCCCACGCAGGUGGAACACAGACAAGACCGCACCGAGGAGCGGGAGGCCGGAGCCAGCCGGGAGGCCGUGCUCCCCGGCCGGCGCCGCUCCGCCUCGGACCCCGGCACGGAAGGGUUGCGGAGAUCCCUGGGCGGGGAAGCGGCUUUUGGGAGAGACCCCACGGCCAGGAGCGUUUGCGGGGCAGAGGGGAUGGGCGGAAAUUCCCCUGCUCAUCACUCGUGUCCCUCUCCUGCCCCGGGUAAGCGGAGCAUCGCCCCUCCAUUUCCCCCGCUUCUCGAUGCUGCCAGGCUCUCGGCAUGGAAAUAAUGACCUGGCUCGGUGGAAACAUCACCCUUCGCAUAGUGGCUCCGGAAUACGUGCGGAAUUUGAAG
Non-coding RNA from Lonchura striata (white-rumped munia), 457 nucleotides. The record is from RefSeq and is a predicted model, not a curated record. Lineage: Eukaryota; Metazoa; Chordata; Aves; Passeriformes; Estrildidae.